UUAGACAUGCAAGUCGAACGGUUUUCGAAUGUAGCAAUACAUUCGAAAGGCAGUGGCGAACGGAUGCGUAACACGUGAACAAUCUACCUUUUAGUGUGGAAUAGCUCGCCGAAAGGCGAAUUAAUACCGCAUGUGAUUGCCUCUCUCAUGAGAGACAUAUUAAAGUCGGGGACCGCAAGGCCUGACGCUAGAAGAGGAGUUCGCGGCCUAUCAGCUAGUUGGCGAGGUAACGGCUCACCAAUGCUAAGACGGGUAGCUGGUCUGAGAGGAUGACCAGUCACACUGGAACUGAGACACGGCCCAGACUCCUACGGGAGGCAGCAGUGGGGAAUUUUGGACAAUGGGCGAAAGCCUGAUCCAGCAAUGCCGCGUGCAGGAAGAAGGCCUUCG
Molecule: ribosomal RNA, 390 nt
Filed under: uncultured bacterium
Lineage: Bacteria
Description: bacterial SSU rRNA
Rfam family: Bacterial small subunit ribosomal RNA
Source: RNAcentral